This 720-nucleotide ribosomal RNA is filed under the name uncultured bacterium. RNAcentral's name for it is "bacterial SSU rRNA". It matches the Rfam family "Bacterial small subunit ribosomal RNA", at positions 776 to 1496 of the family's 1533-position model. The record is from RNAcentral.
GAUUAGAUACCCUGGUAGUCCACGCCGUAAACGAUGUCGACUUGGAGGUCGUUCCCUUGAGGAGUGGCUUCCGGAGCUAACGCGUUAAGUCGACCGCCUGGGGAGUACGGCCGCAAGGUUAAAACUCAAAUGAAUUGACGGGGGCCCGCACAAGCGGUGGAGCAUGUGGUUUAAUUCGAUGCAACGCGAAGAACCUUACCUACUCUUGACAUCCACGGAAUUCGGCAGAGAUGCCUUAGUGCCUUCGGGAACCGUGAGACAGGUGCUGCAUGGCUGUCGUCAGCUCGUGUUGUGAAAUGUUGGGUUAAGUCCCGCAACGAGCGCAACCCUUAUCCUUUGUUGCCAGCGAUUCGGUCGGGAACUCAAAGGAGACUGCCGGUGAUAAACCGGAGGAAGGUGGGGAUGACGUCAAGUCAUCAUGGCCCUUACGAGUAGGGCUACACACGUGCUACAAUGGCGCAUACAAAGAGAAGCGACCUCGCGAGAGCAAGCGGACCUCAUAAAGUGCGUCGUAGUCCGGAUCGGAGUCUGCAACUCGACUCCGUGAAGUCGGAAUCGCUAGUAAUCGUGGAUCAGAAUGCCACGGUGAAUACGUUCCCGGGCCUUGUACACACCGCCCGUCACACCAUGGGAGUGGGUUGCAAAAGAAGUAGGUAGCUUAACCUUCGGGAGGGCGCUUACCACUUUGUGAUUCAUGACUGGGGUGAAGUCGUAACAAGG